This 445-nucleotide ribosomal RNA is filed under the name uncultured bacterium. RNAcentral describes it as "partial 16S ribosomal RNA". It matches the Rfam family "Bacterial small subunit ribosomal RNA", at positions 354 to 796 of the family's 1533-position model. The record is from RNAcentral.
GUAGGGAAUAUUGGACAAUGGUCGGAAGACUGACCCAGCCAUGCCGCGUGCAGGAAGACGGCCCUCUGGGUUGUAAACUGCUUUUAUCUGGGAAGAAAAAGGCCAUGCGUGGCAAAUUGCCGGUACCAGAUGAAUAAGCACCGGCUAACUCCGUGCCAGCAGCCGCGGUAAUACGGAGGGUGCGAGCGUUGUCCGGAUUUAUUGGGUUUAAAGGGUGCGUAGGCGGCUGAUUAAGUCAGCGGUGAAAGACUUCGGCUUAACCGGAGCAGUGCCGUUGAUACUGGUUGGCUUGAGUGUCGGAGGGGUACAUGGAAUUGAUGGUGUAGCGGUGAAAUGCAUAGAUACCAUCAGGAACACCGAUAGCGAAGGCAUUGUACUGGCCGACAACUGACGCUGAUGCACGAAAGUGUGGGGAUCGAACAGGAUUAGAAACCCCCGGUAGUCC